Molecule: non-coding RNA, 83 nt
Organism: Termitomyces sp. T32_za158
Lineage: Eukaryota; Fungi; Basidiomycota; Agaricomycetes; Agaricales; Lyophyllaceae
Source: the annotation of a GenBank genome assembly
GCAUUAAUGGGGUAGUGGUAACCUGGGUCGUUGCCAUUUCGCCGUGUCUCGACCCGCCGGGGGUUCGAUUCCCCCUUAAUGCA